UACGGAGGGGGCUAGCGUUGUUCGGAAUUACUGGGCGUAAAGCGCGCGUAGGCGGCUUUGUAAGUCAGAGGUGAAAGCCUGGAGCUCAACUCCAGAACUGCCUUUGAGACUGCAUCGCUAGAAUCAUGGAGAGGUAAGUGGAAUUCCGAGUGUAGAGGUGAAAUUCGUAGAUAUUCGCAAGAACACCAGUGGCGAAGGCGGCUCACUGGCCCGAUACUGACGCUGAGGUGCGAAAGCGUGGGGAGCAAACAGG
Molecule: ribosomal RNA, 253 nt
Filed under: uncultured bacterium
Lineage: Bacteria
Description: partial 16S ribosomal RNA
Rfam family: Bacterial small subunit ribosomal RNA
Source: RNAcentral